Picea glauca (white spruce) is the source of this 130-nucleotide non-coding RNA. The record is from Rfam. Lineage: Eukaryota; Viridiplantae; Streptophyta; Pinopsida; Pinales; Pinaceae.
UCUUGUGUACAUGCCUACAGUGUAGCGUUAAUUGCACUGGAUCCCAUUAGAACUCCACAAUUCAGCGUGCUCGGGCUAGAGUAGUACUGGGAUGGGUGACUGCCUGGGAAGUCCUAGUGUUUUACAUGCC